GUUUCUGUGGUGUAGUGGUUAUCACAUUUGCCCAGCAUGCAAAAGAUCUCUGAUUCAAAACCAGGCAGAAACA
Molecule: non-coding RNA, 73 nt
Organism: Pelodiscus sinensis (Chinese soft-shelled turtle)
Lineage: Eukaryota; Metazoa; Chordata; Testudines; Trionychidae
Source: the annotation of a RefSeq genome assembly